AUUGAACGCUGGCGGCAUGCUUUACACAUGCAAGUCGAACGGCAGCGCGGGCUUCGGCCUGGCGGCGAGUGGCGAACGGGUGAGUAAUGCAUCGGAACGUGCCCAGUAGUGGGGGAUAGCCCGGCGAAAGCCGGAUUAAUACCGCAUACGACCUGAGGGUGAAAGCGGGGGACCGAAAGGCCUCGCGCUAUUGGAGCGGCCGAUGUCGGAUUAGCUAGUUGGUGGGGUAAAGGCUUACCAAGGCGACGAUCCGUAGCUGGUCUGAGAGGACGACCAGCCACACUGGGACUGAAACACGGCCCAGACUCCUACGGGAGGCAGCAGUGGGGAAUUUUGGACAAUGGGGGCAACCCUGAUCCAGCCAUGCCGCGUGCGGGAAGAAGGCCUUCGGGUUGUAAACCGCUUUUGUUCGGGAAGAAAUCCUCUGGGCUAAUACCCCGGGGGGAUGACGGUACCGGAAGAAUAAGCACCGGCUAACUACGUG
Molecule: ribosomal RNA, 484 nt
Filed under: uncultured bacterium
Lineage: Bacteria
Description: partial 16S ribosomal RNA
Rfam family: Bacterial small subunit ribosomal RNA
Source: RNAcentral